Molecule: ribosomal RNA, 468 nt
Filed under: uncultured bacterium
Lineage: Bacteria
Description: partial 16S ribosomal RNA
Rfam family: Bacterial small subunit ribosomal RNA
Source: RNAcentral
GACGAACGCUGGCGGCGUGCUUAACACAUGCAAGUCGAACGGAAAGGCCCUGCUUUUGUGGGGUGCUCGAGUGGCGAACGGGUGAGUAACACGUGAGUAACCUGCCCUUGACUUUGGGAUAACUUCAGGAAACGGGGGCUACUACCGGAUAGGAGCUCCUGCUGCAUGGUGGGGGUUGGAAAGUUUCGGCGGGUGGGGAUGGACUCGCGGCUUAUCAGCUUGUUGGUGGGGUAGUGGCUUACCAAGGCUUUGACGGGUAGCCGGCCUGAGAGGGUGGCCGGCCACAAUGGGCCUGAGAGACGGCCCAGACGCCUACGUGAGGCAGCAGUGGGGAAUAUGGCACAACGGGAGGAAGCCUGAGGCAGAAACGCCGCGUGCGGGAUGACGGCCUUCGGGUUGUAAACCGCUUUCGCCUGUGACGAAGCGUGAGUGACGGUAAUGGGUAAAGAAGCACCGGCUAACUACGUG